GUAGGGAAUAUUGCACAAUGGAGGAAACUCUGAUGCAGCGACGCCGCGUGAGUGAUGAAGGCCUUCGGGUCGUAAAACUCUGUGAUAAGGGAAGAUGAUGACGGUACCUUAUCAGAAAAGACCGGCUAACUUCGUGCCAGCAGCCGCGGUAAUACGAGGGGUCUAAGCGUUGUUCGGAAUCACUGGGCGUAAAGCGGGUGUAGGUGGCUAUGCAAGUUGGAUGUGAAAGCCCCGGGCUCAACCCGGGAAGUGCAUCCAAAACUACGUAGCUUGAGUGCGGGAGAGAAAGGCAGAAUUCCUGGUGUAGUGGUGAAAUACGUAGAUAUCAGGAGGAACUCCGGUGGCGAAGGCGGCCUUUUGGCCCAGCACUGACACUCAGACCCGAAAGCGUGGGUAGCAAACAGGAUUAGAUACCCGGGUAGUCC
Molecule: ribosomal RNA, 425 nt
Filed under: uncultured bacterium
Lineage: Bacteria
Description: bacterial SSU rRNA
Rfam family: Bacterial small subunit ribosomal RNA
Source: RNAcentral